ACUCCUACGGGAGGCAGCAGUGGGGAAUAUUGGACAAUGGGGGGAACACUGAUCCAGCCAUGCCGCGUGUGUGAAGAAGGCCUUUUGGUUGUAAAGCACUUUAAGCGAGGAGGAGGCUUACCUGGUUAAUACCCGGGAUAAGUGGACGUUACUCGCAGAAUAAGCACCGGCUAACUCCGUGCCAGCAGCCGCGGUAAUACGAAGGGGGCUAGCGUUGCUCGGAAUCACUGGGCGUAAAGGGCGCGUAGGCGGACUUUUAAGUCGGGGUGAAAGCCCAGGGCUCAACCCUGGAAUUGCCUUCGAUACUGGGAGUCUUGAGUUCGGAAGAGGUUGGUGGAACUGCGAGUGUAGAGGUGAAAUUCGUAGAUAUUCGCAAGAACACCGGUGGCGAAGGCGGCCAACUGGUCCGAUACUGACGCUGAGGCGCGAAAGCGUGGGGAGCAAACAGGAUUAGAUACCCUGGUAGCUA
RNAcentral lists this ribosomal RNA (469 nucleotides) under uncultured bacterium. RNAcentral's name for it is "bacterial SSU rRNA". It matches the Rfam family "Bacterial small subunit ribosomal RNA", at positions 335 to 796 of the family's 1533-position model. The record is from RNAcentral.